This 459-nucleotide ribosomal RNA is filed under the name uncultured bacterium. Its description in RNAcentral is "partial 16S ribosomal RNA". It matches the Rfam family "Bacterial small subunit ribosomal RNA", at positions 339 to 795 of the family's 1533-position model. The record is from RNAcentral.
CUACGGGGCGCUGCAGUGAGGAAUAUUGGACAAUGGUCGAAAGACUGAUCCAGCCAUGCCGCGUGCAGGAUGAAUGCCCUAUGGGUUGUAAACUGCUUUUAUACGGGAAGAACACCACCCACGUGUGGGUGACUGACGGUACCGUAAGAAUAAGGACCGGCUAACUCCGUGCCAGCAGCCGCGGUAAUACGGAGGGUCCAAGCGUUAUCCGGAAUCAUUGGGUUUAAAGGGUCCGUAGGCGGGCUAUUAAGUCAGAGGUGAAAGUUUGCAGCUCAACUGUAAAAUUGCCUUUGAUACUGGUAGUCUUGAGUUAUAGUGAAGUGGUUAGAAUAUGUGGUGUAGCGGUGAAAUGCAUAGAUAUCACAUAGAAUACCAAUUGCGAAGGCAGAUCACUAACUAUAUACUGACGCUGAUGGACGAAAGCGUGGGGAGCGAACGGGAUUAGAUACCCCCGUAGUC